This is a long non-coding RNA of Hippocampus zosterae (dwarf seahorse), 2697 nucleotides long. RefSeq lists it as uncharacterized. Lineage: Eukaryota; Metazoa; Chordata; Actinopteri; Syngnathiformes; Syngnathidae. The record is from RefSeq and is a predicted model, not a curated record. The transcript is spliced from 2 exons.
UGAUCCUGAUAUUACUACGGUUGGCAUGUAAUUGGAUUAGACUUUUGACAGUUAGCAUGCUAGCAAUUAGCGCACAAAUGAGCACAAUUCUUGCUUUAAAAAAAAUCAUUCAGCUAUUUAAUAAUGUACCGGUAGCUAUCUUGUGCUGCCAGCUUAUCCAGAGAAUGAUUGACAUGAUUAAAAAAUGCUAGUUUAGCCAGGGAUUAUUUGUGUUACUGUCGCCUUAUUAUUUGAGAGUCUAUCCAGCAAAUUCGACGUCAUGUGGUUUGUUGUGUGGCACAUUUUGAUCUGCUUGCUAUUUUUUAUCAUGUUUCACAAGCUAGCCUGCGCUAAUGUAUCGCUACGUAAGUCUUUUUUUUUAUCUCACGUUGUAGGGGUUGACAGGUUCACCUUAUGGAUUUGCCUGAAACUCCUCAUUGUUGGAGCAUGUUACAUGUCACGUGACAGUAAUUGCACAGCCCGCAAGCAAGACGACAGACAAGUGGUUCGAAAAUGAUGUGGUCUUUUUUUACGUAUGUGACCUUUCGCGAUUAACUUCAAUCAGUAAUGACAAGGAGUAACUCACUUAUAAUAGACUUUACCGUCAUAGCGUCUUUGCUUAAUUAGCACUAAGUGAGGUCAGAAGCAACAUUUCUGUGCAUUUACUGACUUGAGUUCUUGCGAGUCUUACCUACUCAUUGCCGCUGUCAAUCCUGUCAGCGGCAUUCCUAACGCUGGUCGCUACGGAUGUUGUCGCAUGUCACUCGAGGUUUUGUCGCAGUAGUGGUCGGUCAGGGCUAGGAAGUGCUUCUCUGCCAGCCGAAAUACUAUCAGAAGAACUGACCUAUAUUUACAACAUAUUUGUGUGUGUGUUGCAUGAAAUGUUUUUAAUUUAUUCCCAGCAGUCUUCAUUUUGGAGUGUUUCUCUUGGAUGUACUGGUUGCAGUAGAUAGAUGUUAGCUGUUCAAUGUUUUUGCCACUGUGUCAGUCAAAUCUGCCAGGGAGCUUCGGAAUCACUCGUCCUUUCUUUCUGACACAGGUAGGGAUUUGCCAAUGUGUCGGACUGCCGCAUUGGAGCGCCAAAUGCUGCCGUGGAAGACGAGCGCAAUGUCAGAUUUUGUGUUAUUUUUUUGGCUGCAGUAUCUGUGGCCGGUAUCGGCUGCCUUCAUGAGUCUCCGAUACUCCCCCCCCCAAAAAAAACACACACAAAAAAAACUAAGGCUAGUAUCGGCCUGAACCCUAUAUCCCUAUAGGUGAUACAGAGAGGAUGAUAACCUAAGUCCCCACUGAAUGCCCAGGUAGCAAAUGCACAGCUUGACGCUUUUUUGAAAAGAAAAUGCCGGAAUGUUUCCGAUACUUUUGACAUGAUGGAAUUUAUUGAACAUCUGUGAUAUGGAUGAGUGGUUUAGUGAUUUUCCUUCGAGGGCUCCCUUUGCUUUGGUCCCCAUGUGGCUAAUACACACAUACACACACACACACACACACACACACACACACACACACACACACACACACACACACACACACACACACACACACACACACACUUGUAAACAAACCCAGCUGCGGUGCGGACAUGUUGGCAUUCCGAUGUGGCUUCUUGUCUUGCCGUCAUAUGAUUUUAUGAGUUCAUUUUUACCAUCUAAUGAUAGGGCACAGAUGGACCUUAAGGGAACGGUACCAAUUCUUUUUUUCUGACUAAUGACUGACUAAUGACUGACAAAUGACGGGAGAAUCUCGAGUAUCAUUUUAAUAUUCGUAACUGUAAUACUUAGCGCCUGAUGUUAGCUAUUAGCGACAUCCUAAUAGAUAAGUCCAACAAGUAGCGCCUGUGUUGCUUUUUCUUAAAUUAAAACCGAGUAAAGUGAAUUCAGCAUUGUAGUGCUUACUGUAGCAUGAUGGUUUUUUUUUUUGUUAUUAUUAUUAUUAUUAUUGGUAACUUUCUACAAUGAUUUAAUGACUGCAAUAUCACAAUAAUAUCUUGAGAACUUGGAUGCACCACACGUGUAACAACGCAACACUUCUUUUUUUAGGAAGGCUCCCAUCUAUUUCUAGGGAUGCUGUCGUGACGCCAGACGGGGCAGACACCCGGGAACAUUCCGACUUGUCAACGGUUCGUUAUGAGCAUCUGUGGUCAUGGCUGAGGUGUCCUUAAGAGAAUCUUCUCAAUGUACUGAAUGUCUAGUGACGGGUCAGGUCAUUUACACUGUUUCUGUUAACCCCGCAGUCCACAAAAACCUCUCGGAGAAGACUAUCUGACAACAUCACUUUGAGAAAAUGAAAACACGAAGACCCUCCCCGAUUGUCUAGAUAAGAGGCAACGCAUGCUUGCUUCAAGCCGUUUGUCACUCCUAGUUGAGGUUUACUUUCAAAUGGACACAUAAAACAAGAGAGUUAAACGUUGUAUAUUUAAACACAAAAUACCCAAGUGGUUGAGCAAACCAUAUAAUUUCGUGCGGAGAAAGUUUAGCUUAAUGCUAACUUAUGAUGCAAAUGCCAUAGCUGCGCUAAAAAAAGUUCAUCAAUCCACCCAUCCGUUUUCCAAUCCGCUUAUCCUCACAAAGGUCGUGGGGGGUGCUGGAACCUAUCCCAGCUUUCUUCGGGCAAGAUGAACAAUCAUCCGCGCUCACACUUACACCUAGGGACAAUUUUGCGUGUUCCAUCUGCCUACCAUGCAUGUUUUUGAAAUGUGGGAAGAAACCGGAAUACCCGGAGAAA